RNAcentral lists this transfer RNA (76 nucleotides) under Vibrio coralliirubri. Its description in RNAcentral is "tRNA-Met". It matches the Rfam family "tRNA". Rfam says of the family: Transfer RNA (tRNA) molecules are approximately 80 nucleotides in length. Their secondary structure includes four short double-helical elements and three loops (D, anti-codon, and T loops). Lineage: Bacteria; Pseudomonadati; Pseudomonadota; Gammaproteobacteria; Vibrionales; Vibrionaceae. The record is from RNAcentral.
UGCGGGGUGGAGCAGUUGGUGGCUCGCAAGGCUCAUAACCUUGAGGUCUCUGGUUCGAGUCCAGAUCCCGCAUCCA